This is a long non-coding RNA of Bradysia coprophila, 741 nucleotides long. RefSeq lists it as uncharacterized. Lineage: Eukaryota; Metazoa; Arthropoda; Insecta; Diptera; Sciaridae. The record is from RefSeq and is a predicted model, not a curated record.
UCCGUUUAACCAUCUUUUCAAAGUCUUUUGUUCUAACGGAAUUGUUUUGGUUUGUAAUUAGAUUGUCACCUGACCGAGUAAUUGUGCGCAAAAGAGGCGGAUCCUGUAAACAGGGUACAACAUUGUAUCAAGUCUCGCGCAUUUAGGUUAGACGGAUAAUUCGUAGUACAAUUGUCGGAUCUAAGACCCGGGAACGGAUUACCAAAGUAAUUUUAAGCCGUACAGUCAUUAAACUGAAUUGUAAUCAAGCAAAGAUCGAAUUUGGUUUCAUUCAUUUGGCACGUCGAGCUCUAUAAUCUUUAGAAUCCAAUCGGGUCUGGUGUUCAGAGGCACCACAGGUAGUGAUGACCGUUUUACGAUCGACGAGAUUGACUGAUGAAGAGAUGAAAAAGCACGGUUUUUUGGUGUCAGCUGGAUGAUCUGCGUGUUCGUUAAUUUUGAUGUACUGUUUCUAGUUGUAUAAUCGAUAACUUGUUUCUCUCUUCUUUCAUGUCCGAUCAAAACGACACAUUGGAACCAUUUUUGUAUCGUACAUCGUAUCGCUGUCAUGGUUGGUUCAUUGUUUCAACCUGUGACGAUUGUUUUUCGCUGCUCGAAAUGGCUCACACAACGAAGGGUCGACUGGGUACUCAUCUCACUUUCGGAUUCGUUGUCAAUGUUUAUAUUGACGCGCUAGUCAAUUGUGCCAUUGUAUUGACAAAGCCAGUUAGCAACAGCCGUUGGCUUUUAAGUAAAUAAAUA